RNAcentral lists this ribosomal RNA (497 nucleotides) under uncultured bacterium. RNAcentral's name for it is "partial 16S ribosomal RNA". It matches the Rfam family "Bacterial small subunit ribosomal RNA", at positions 28 to 507 of the family's 1533-position model. The record is from RNAcentral.
GAUGAACGCUGGCGGCGUGCCUAAUACAUGCAAGUCGAGCGAACGGACGGGAAGCUUGCUUCUCUGAUGUUAGCGGCGGACGGGUGAGUAACACGUGGAUAACCUACCUAUAAGACUGGGAUAACUUCGGGAAACCGUAGCUAAUACCGGAUAAUAUUUUGAACCGCAUGGUUCAAAAGUGAAAGACGGUCUUGCUGUCACUUAUAGAUGGAUCCGCGCUGCAUUAGCUAGUUGGUAAGGUAACGGCUUACCAAGGCAACGAUGCAUAGCCGGCCUGAGAGGGUGAUCGGCCACACUGGAACUGUGACACGGUCCAGACUCCUACAGGAGGCAGCAGUAGGGAAUCUUCCGCAAUGGGCGAAAGCCUGACGGAGCAACGCCGCGUGAGUGAUGAAGGUCUUCGGAUCGUAAAACUCUGUUAUUAGGGAAGAACAUAUGUGUAAGUAACUGUGCACAUCUUGACGGUACCUAAUCAGAAAGCCACGGCUAACUACGUG